RNAcentral lists this ribosomal RNA (705 nucleotides) under uncultured organism. RNAcentral's name for it is "SSU rRNA". It matches the Rfam family "Bacterial small subunit ribosomal RNA", at positions 769 to 1474 of the family's 1533-position model. The record is from RNAcentral.
CAAACAGGAUUAGAUACCCUGGUAGUCCACGCCGUAAACGAUGUCGACUUGGAGGUUGUGCCCUUGAGGCGUGGCUUCCGGAGCUAACGCGUUAAGUCGACCGCCUGGGGAGUACGGCCGCAAGGUUAAAACUCAAAUGAAUUGACGGGGGCCCGCACAAGCGGUGGAGCAUGUGGUUUAAUUCGAUGCAACGCGAAGAACCUUACCUGGUCUUGACAUCCACGGAAGUUUUCAGAGAUGAGAAUGUGCCUUCGGGAACCGUGAGACAGGUGCUGCAUGGCUGUCGUCAGCUCGUGUUGUGAAAUGUUGGGUUAAGUCCCGCAACGAGCGCAACCCUUAUCCUUUGUUGCCAGCGGUCCGGCCGGGAACUCAAAGGAGACUGCCAGUGAUAAACUGGAGGAAGGUGGGGAUGACGUCAAGUCAUCAUGGCCCUUACGACCAGGGCUACACACGUGCUACAAUGGCGCAUACAAAGAGAAGCGACCUCGCGAGAGCAAGCGGACCUCAUAAAGUGCGUCGUAGUCCGGAUUGGAGUCUGCAACUCGACUCCAUGAAGUCGGAAUCGCUAGUAAUCGUGGAUCAGAAUGCCACGGUGAAUACGUUCCCGGGCCUUGUACACACCGCCCGUCACACCAUGGGAGUGGGUUGCAAAAGAAGUAGGUAGCUUAACCUUCGGGAGGGCGCUUACCACUUUGUGAUUCAUGA